UUAUCUGAAACCGGCGGUGCACACAACGCCCUGCCUGAAAGCCAGGAGUUAAACAUUCACCACCCAUUUCUUGGAAAUCACAUUGGGACCACCAGCCUUUCCCAUAAACCACGUGGUCCAACACCAUGACUGGACCAGACGGACUGCAGACAUGGGGUCUCUAUAUAAAGCCCCCUUUCACUUUCACUGUUACAGCGACUUCACACCACUUUCCUCUCUGCGGCAACACAGCGGCUAAGUCAUGGGAUCUUCAUCAUCAGCUCCAUGUAAGUAAUAAUGCAAACACCUGCCUGACACAGUUCAGACUUAAUGACAUGAUUCUCUUUUUAUUCUGUUUAAUAUACUCCUGAGAACUGAGGAGAAAAAAAAAA
This is a long non-coding RNA of Stegastes partitus (bicolor damselfish), 371 nucleotides long. RefSeq lists it as uncharacterized. The transcript is spliced from 2 exons. Lineage: Eukaryota; Metazoa; Chordata; Actinopteri; Pomacentridae. The record is from RefSeq and is a predicted model, not a curated record.